Molecule: ribosomal RNA, 443 nt
Filed under: uncultured bacterium
Lineage: Bacteria
Description: partial 16S ribosomal RNA
Rfam family: Bacterial small subunit ribosomal RNA
Source: RNAcentral
CCUACGGGUGGCAGCAGUGGGGAAUAUUGGGCAAUGGGCGCAAGCCUGACCCAGCAACGCCGCGUGAAGGAAGAAGGCUUUCGGGUUGUAAACUUCUUUUCUCAGGGACGAAGCAUGUGACGGUACCUGAGGAAUAAGCCACGGCUAACUACGUGCCAGCAGCCGCGGUAAUACGUAGGUGGCAAGCGUUAUCCGGAUUUACUGGGUGUAAAGGGCGUUUAGGCGGGAACGCAAGUCAGAUGUGAAAACCAUGGGCUCAACCUGUGGACUGCAUUUGACACUGUUUUUCUUGAGUACUGGAGAGGCAGACGGAAUUCCUAGUGUAGCGGGGAAAUGCGUAGAGAUUAGGAGGAACACCAGUGGCGAAGGCGGUCUGCUGGACAGCAACUGACGCUGAGGCGCGAAAGCGUGGGGAGCAAACAGGAUUAGAUACCCGGGUAGUC